This 627-nucleotide long non-coding RNA is filed under the name Zostera marina. Its description in RNAcentral is "long non-coding RNA (ZMAR_LNC005920)". The record is from RNAcentral. Lineage: Eukaryota; Viridiplantae; Streptophyta; Magnoliopsida; Alismatales; Zosteraceae.
CCCCCCUAAAAUUUGGAAAUUUUUUGAGGACCUAUAUGUAAUUAAAUUUUUUAUAGGGGGUUUAGUAUAAUUUUCACAAUAUAUUAAUAUUUUUAAGGGUUAAUAUAUAAAUUUCACAAUAUUUAUAUAUUAUAUAAAUUUCUUUUAGUAUACUUUUCAUAAGGGUUUAGCAUAAUUUCACAAGGGUUUAGUAUACUUUUCAUAAAAUCACCAUUUAAAAAUUUACAAACUCAAUUUGCCAAUAUUUCCCCCAAAUAAAAUCCAAACAUUAACCCUAGCAUCCUUAAAUUCCCAAAUUGGAUUUUCAGGCGACAAGACUCCACUCUCCAGAAGAAGCAGAUGCUUCAUCUAAUUAUCUUCAUUCUGCAGGUUCUUAUUUCUAUUUUAGAUCUUAUAAGUGUCCGAUUCAAACCAUCACCUUCAGUUUUUGUUUUAAGAGGUAAUGACGCAUUCGGUUCUUCAUUUCUUCUCCAGUUCAUCUUUUCUUCUUCUUCCGAUAAUCCGAUUCCCUUUCAAUUUUUAAUAGGCGUAAUUGCUUUAUUCUUUUACAUCUUCUCUCAGAUUUGGAAGUUAAUAGUAGAAUGCAAUUCUUUCUACAUUCCUCAUUGUUGGGUUGUAACUCCAUCA